Molecule: long non-coding RNA, 2028 nt
Organism: Salvia miltiorrhiza (redroot sage)
Lineage: Eukaryota; Viridiplantae; Streptophyta; Magnoliopsida; Lamiales; Lamiaceae
Exons: 3
Source: RefSeq, a predicted model, not a curated record
UUUUUGUACCACCAUUUUUCUUUGCAACAACUUUUAAUUCAUGCGCACAAAUGUACCAUGCUCAGCUAUUGCCAGCUAUCAUUUGCACCACUGCUAGCUAUGUGAGAACUUUCCCUUGCCUAUAAAUAGGAGUGCUUCUGUGAUCAGUUUCAUUCACACAAUCAUCAUGGUUUUCUUCUCUUAGAAUAUAACAGCCACUCUCCUUGUUCUUUCUUUUCUUACAUUAGCUUCUUUCUUGAGCUACCACCACCUGCCAUUACUUCAAUUUCCUCAUCUUGGAACUCAAAUGCCAUCCAAAAACGGCAGCCAUGGUAGCAAUAGCAGUUCAUGUAGCAAUAGCAGUAGCGAGGCAGAAAGAGUGGGGUUAUAGGGACGCUGUUGUCCCAGCUUUCGUUCUUACGAUUUCUGCAACUGGGCACCGGCGACAAUGUGUGCUGUCCCGUAGUUCCGGCGAAAGGGGAGAGAUCGAGCUUUGGCAGUCGAGGGAUUGAGCCAUAGUUGUUGAAUCCUUGCUGAUUUCGCCGAGUGCCGACGAGGUGUGCUGUCCCAUAGUUCCGGCGAAAAGGAGAGAUCGAGCUUUGCAGUAGAGGCUUCGAAGCGGAGAAGCAUCGAGCAUCGUCGUGAGUGUGCCGGGACAAGUUGCGACAACGGAGACUCCAGGCAACUUACUCGCCGGUCUUUGGCAGCAGCGAACGGCAACGAACCGCGUGGUGCCGAAGGCGAGAGACGACGGUGGAGCCUUGCGGCAGCUACUGAAACGGGCUUGGAGCGCGGUGGUGGUAUUUGGCUUCGGCUUUGUAGCGGUCUCCAGCUUCUUCUCAGCGGGCGUAGCAGUAGUCGGAAAUCAAUCUCUGUUUCUUGGUGAUUUUAGGCUCCUCGGCAAUCGGCAUCUCCAGAUGGCUGUGACCACUGCUGCUUCUCUUCGGCCAGCAACGGAGCCGCCUGUUCUCUCCUUUAAACAAACAAACUCCCUUAUCCAGUCUUUGUUCACCAAACAAUCAAAGGGAGUACUUUCCAGCUGCCAAGUUUCGGAUAUUUGAUGGCAAUGGGAGCUUGGAAGCUUGUGUUAAAGAUUGGCAUAGUCUCAUUAAUCAACUUCAUGGCGGAUUUUGCCCCAAACGAGAUGCUUUGAGUAUUUGCAAAGUUCGAAAUCUAUUGUCUUCUUUCUUUCAGUCUUGACAUCUCCAUCAGCCCGACUAAAGACCAUCCUCAGAGAGUUCAUCCAAAAAUCUGGCAGCAGCCUAUCUAAGACUUUAUUUGAGUGAUGUUUACUUUGCACUUCAGGUGGCUCAAUUGGCUUUUAAUCAGAUUUCGGGUGCGCUCGGAUCUGGGCCAUUGUGAGUCCAACCUUUGAAGAUUGCUGGUUACAUUUUCUCUUUGCGCGCAUUUGAGCAGGCUAGAUGACUCAAUGGUGUUCUAUUAUGUUUGGCGAACAUGUGUUUCAACUCCACGAGCGCAUUCAACUUUAGCUUGGAGAGAAGUGAAUUUGUCGAUGCAUAGCCGACCUCAAUGCCAGAUGACUCAAUUCUUUGACAGGUCUUGGGUGCGCUCAGGCCUGGGAUUGUUUGAAUCUGGUUUGAGUGAGGUUGUUGUUAUGUUUGGCAUCUCACGAAGUUGGGAGAAUUCUGCACAACGGCUCGAGAAGAUUGAGUAUUUUCUUCUUGAUGCUUAAGCCAAGGAGAAUGAAGCCAUCGUCCGAAUUGCUUUGAUCAAGGAAGUGCUUGCUAUGAUAGAGAGGUGGAAGACAGAGAUGACGUUGUCCUUCAAGCAAGAUAGUGCCUCCUUUCAUAUUGUCCGAGGUGCAAUCCCAUAAUUCAAAAGAGAGUUUGACAAACAUAAAGUUGCACAUGUUGAUGAGGAAAUGCUGCGGAAUUUUGAAGACUUCAGAGUCACUUUUGAUCUCUGCUCAGAGAACUUUGGAGGAUCAAGACCCAUUUGCUUAGUAUUGGUGCAAACCACAGUUUCUAUCAUUUCUCUCUUGAUGAUUCUUAUUUGGUUUGUGAUGGAUAUUUUGACAUCUUCUCCAAA